Molecule: ribosomal RNA, 253 nt
Filed under: uncultured bacterium
Lineage: Bacteria
Description: partial 16S ribosomal RNA
Rfam family: Bacterial small subunit ribosomal RNA
Source: RNAcentral
UACGUAGGCAGCGAGCGUUGUUCGGAGUUACUGGGCGUAAAGCGUGCGUAGGCGGUGGCCCAAGUCUGGUGUGAAAUCUCCCGGCUUAACUGGGAGGGUGCGCCGGAAACUGGGUUGCUGGAGUACCGGAGAGGCAAGCGGAAUUCCUGGUGUAGCGGUGAAAUGCGUAGAUAUCAGGAGGAACACCGAUGGCGAAGGCAGCUCGCUGGGACGGUACUGACGCUGAGACGCGAAAGCGUGGGGAGCAAACAGG